This is a long non-coding RNA of Cyprinus carpio (common carp), 3356 nucleotides long. The record is from Ensembl. Lineage: Eukaryota; Metazoa; Chordata; Actinopteri; Cypriniformes; Cyprinidae.
AUAAUUGUCAUGUUACUAAAUUGCCACAUUUAAGUUUGUUUUUUCAAUGUAGAUAAAAAGUCAGAUAAAAUCUGUAUGACUAAAGCUAUUGUAUGGGACAGUAUCUGACUGGCCUGAGGUAAGAGUUUUUGCUGUUUAUAGCUGUACAUGCCAAUUAGAUCUCACUGGUUGAACAAAAAACUGUCAGAAGCAGAAUUCACACAUUCACCAUCAUGUGUGAAGACUAUUGUUUGGUAUUGCUGCUUAUGCAUUUGUGAACACUUCACAUGUUCAAUUUGUGAGGAAGUGACACCCUUUCUCACUGCAGUGCACACUUCUACUGUAGCUUCAGUGAUCAGAUGAGACCAUGAGGCUGUUUGGACUGUAUUUCUCUGCUGUCUGGAUAUUGUGCUGCUGCUAUCUUGGCUGUGGCGGAGGUCAAGGUGUGUGCAGUAAAGGGAAGCUUGUUAUAAGAAUCAAUUUAACCACAGAACUGCGUUCUGAAAUCCUGCUGCCGUGCCUUUUUGAACAAGCUCUCACUGGAUCAAACCUGACCAUGAAUCCAGAAGCUGUGUGGACUCAGAUAAAUGAAACCAUUGACCACAUUGUAGAGAUCAAAGUAAAUAAUCCUGUAAAUUUCUGGAAUAGCAGAAACAAUAGAAUUAAGGUAUCCGGUGCUCCUGCCACUGGAAACUUCUCCAUCCUGAUUAGAGAUGUGCAGCUGUCUGAUCUGGGUCUCUACCGCUGUGAACUCUACAGAGAUAACUGUUCUCUGGGCUAUAAAGAGAUAGAAAUCAGUCUGGCUGCUGUUGAAUUUUCACUGCUCUCUAACUGGCAGCUCAUAGUUGCAGGAGGAGGAGGAGGAUUUCUGCUUCUCUGUCUGAUCACUGUGUGUGUUUACUAUACAUGGACAAAACGACAAAUAGUCGAUGGAUCAGUCAACCACACAUCACACAAUAGCCCUGACAGUGAAGGACAAAAAAAUGAUGAAAUAACCUAUGCAUCAGUUGAUUUUAAAUCCCACAACUGCCAUGACAGUGAAGUUCUUCUGAAUAAUAACCCUAUAAAUAGCUCUGCAUCAGAAGACAUUGUCUGCCCAGAGACGGUCAUUUACUCUACCAUCAAGCAAGGAGAGAGAAGAUGAGCAAGUGAGCAACGAAACAUCCAAAUUAAAACACUCAAGAAAAAGAAAAUAUUUUAUGGAACUCCCAUCUUGUAUUGUUUGCUUUGAUUUGACAAGAAAUUAUAUGUUUGAUAAUGUUACAAGAAGUAACAUCAUUUUCUAAAGCACUAUGGAAACCAAAGUAAACUAAUUCAUACCCUUUUCUCUUGAAAAAAAAAAGUAUUAAUAACUACCCUAAAAUUGUGGAAAGAGUCUAAUGUUUGUCCCUCAUGUAUAUCGGCUUUGUCUUUAUCUUUGUUUUUUUUGUUGUUGUUUUUUUGAACAAGGCGGUGUGUUGUUACUGUGGGUGAAGGGUGUGAAAUUGAACUCAGCUACUUUAUCACCUAAACCACUGAUAUCUUUGCAGGCAAUGUGACAGGGCCACACAUGCAACAAUAAGACAGGAUAAACAGUAUAUCUUACAGUAUAAAGAUACUUCAGGCCAAGAUGCUUACAGGAAACUAGAGUGGAAAUUCCCAUAUCCAUGAGCUUCUUCACAAAUAAGCUACAGAUUCUGUUUUGUCACAUAGUGUGAAAAUGUUUUGUGUGAAAAUACACGAGAUUAAGCUCAAUGACGUGUACGUUACAAUUAUUUAAAUUUUUUAAGUAGGCCUACAUUAGAUUUACAGUAGACCUGAUUUGAAAGAACAAUUGCUCAAUCAUUCAAUUCAGAGGCGUUAUGCCCAUUCCACUCGAGCCAAGUGGAUUUUGAAUUCAGCUUACAAAACACAACAACAACAAAUUGCCGAUUAAUAUAUUUUUUUUAAAAUAUUUGAUACGAUAUGUUUGAUUAGAACGUUCAGUGCGUCACGUCACCAGCUGCUAAAUUCAAAUCUGUGUUCGCUGGCUGCCGCUGAGACAGACGCUCUGCGCAUUAUAACCAAUCACACACGAGUCUGAGCUUAUACGCAAUAGCCAAUCAGAGGCAUUCAGAUGAGUCAUCGCUGAAACUCCUGUUUUGUUCAGUGUGUGCGCUCACUUACUGAAUUCUCUCAUUAGAAACAACAAAGUGUAGAUGUGCAUACGAUGUAAGUAACAUAUGCAAUUCCAAAUGUAAACAGCUUCAGUGAUUAUGAUGGGAGUUUUUGAGAGUGCUUGUACUCUGGCUAGACUGAAGUUCUGAUAAUGAAAUCGUGAUCAUUUUCUUUGAUAAUGUAGCCUAAAUGUUCUUUGCUAUCUUUCUGUACAUUGAAAGUGUUCUAAUUAGUAACUUACAAUGUUUUUAUUAAAUUCACUUUAAAUACAAUGUCGGUCGGAUUAAAAAUAUUUUAUGGCAUGACACCAUGCGGUAGUUGAGUAAAAAGACUGAUUUUAUGUGUAGUUAAUAGAUCCAGUGGCGUUUCGUCUAUAUAAGCUGUGAAUGCUCUGCAUACCCAGGACAUUUGAGAGAAUAAGUUCACGGGAUAAUUCAUAUAAACAUGAUUAUAUAAUGAAAAUGUACAGGACAAAUUAAAAUAUUUUAUAUAUAUAUAUUUUUUUUUUAAGAAUUAAAAAUAAUCAGAUUUUGAGUAAUGAACACAUUGCAACCAAGCUUGGGAUGGCCCACAUAAAUGAGCAAAAAUGUUUUACAUUUCUUAAAAUAAUACCUUUUGAACAUUAAACACUGACUGUCAGACUUUAUGAAGCUCCAUUCCCGCAUCCGUGUCCGCGCCCACCCUCGCCUCAUGUUUGCAGUCGACUGCAAAUGAUCAUAAUUGAUGGACAACUAUGCCCGGGGAAAAAAAAAAACAUAAGCAGCCUGGCGCAGAGAAAAGAAAAGUAAAAAAGCUCAAGAUGAAGCCCGUGCAUCACUUUCAGUUAGGCUACGUUAAUAAUCCUGUGAAACUUUUUUGGCUGUUGACGUUCAUAACGUUUAUUAACGUUAAUUAAUGUUUUAAUUAUCGUAUGAUAAGCUUAUUGAUGACUUUGCCUCCAAGUGUGCUUUUGUAAAUUUUGAAAUUCGGAAUGCUCCAGCAGAUGACGUAUAUCAGUGUUGAUUUUCGGAGUGUCUAUAUACACUAAGUGCAAAUCGCCCACCUUGUUGGCAGAAGCUAUUUACACUAACUCCGCCCACCUACGUGUGAUUGGUAUAGUCAACACUACAAAAGACUAAUAGCAAACAAUAUUGACGCGAUCCACCCGAGGAUAUAAGGAAAUAACCUGUUUUUAUACAGUCUAUGGAAAUAACCGACAGGUUGAAAAUAAAGUAUCGGGUAGGGUAAGGGUAGGUGUAGGG